This 691-nucleotide ribosomal RNA is filed under the name bacterium LFM10. Its description in RNAcentral is "bacterial SSU rRNA". It matches the Rfam family "Bacterial small subunit ribosomal RNA", at positions 52 to 735 of the family's 1533-position model. The record is from RNAcentral.
UACCUGCAGUCGAGCGGUAACAGGGGUAGCUUGCUACCCGCUGACGAGCGGCGGACGGGUGAGUAAUGCUUGGGAAGCUGCCCGGUAGAGGGGGAUAACAGUUGGAAACGACUGCUAAUACCGCAUAACCUCUUCGGAGCAAAGCGGGGGACCUUCGGGCCUCGCGCUACCGGAUGCGCCCAAGUGGGAUUAGCUAGUUGGUGGGGUAACGGCUCACCAAGGCGACGAUCCCUAGCUGGUCUGAGAGGAUGAUCAGCCACACUGGGACUGAGACACGGCCCAGACUCCUACGGGAGGCAGCAGUGGGGAAUAUUGCACAAUGGGCGAAAGCCUGAUGCAGCCAUGCCGCGUGUGUGAAGAAGGCCUUCGGGUUGUAAAGCACUUUCAGCGAGGAGGAAAGGGUAAGUCUUAAUACGGCUUAUCUGUGACGUUACUCGCAGAAGAAGCACCGGCUAACUCCGUGCCAGCAGCCGCGGUAAUACGGAGGGUGCGAGCGUUAAUCGGAAUUACUGGGCGUAAAGCGCAUGCAGGCGGCUGAUUAAGCCAGAUGUGAAAGCCCGGGGCUUAACCUCGGAAUUGCAUUUGGAACUGGUCAGCUAGAGUUCUUGAGAGGGUGGUAGAAUUUCAGGUGUAGCGGUGAAAUGCGUAGAGAUCUGAAGGAAUACCGGUGGCGAAGGCGGCCACCUGGCAA